RNAcentral lists this transfer RNA (69 nucleotides) under Dipodomys ordii (Ord's kangaroo rat). It matches the Rfam family "tRNA". From Rfam's summary of the family: Transfer RNA (tRNA) molecules are approximately 80 nucleotides in length. Their secondary structure includes four short double-helical elements and three loops (D, anti-codon, and T loops). Further hydrogen bonds mediate the characteristic L-shaped molecular structure. tRNAs have two regions of fundamental functional importance: the anti-codon, which is responsible for specific mRNA codon recognition, and the 3' end, to which the tRNAs corresponding amino acid is attached (by aminoacyl-tRNA synthetases). tRNAs cope with the degeneracy of the genetic code in two manners: having more than one tRNA (with a specific anti-codon) for a particular amino acid; and 'wobble' base-pairing, i.e. permitting non-standard base-pairing at the 3rd anti-codon position. The record is from Rfam by way of RNAcentral. Lineage: Eukaryota; Metazoa; Chordata; Mammalia; Rodentia; Heteromyidae.
GGAAUGUAGCUUAGUGGUAGAGUGUUUGCCUAGCAUGCAUAAGGCCCUGGGUUCAAUUCCUUGAUACCA